This 253-nucleotide ribosomal RNA is filed under the name uncultured prokaryote. Its description in RNAcentral is "partial 16S ribosomal RNA". It matches the Rfam family "Bacterial small subunit ribosomal RNA", at positions 525 to 777 of the family's 1533-position model. The record is from RNAcentral.
ACGUAGGGGGCAAGCGUUGUCCGGAAUCAUUGGGCGUAAAGCGCGCGUAGGCGGCCCGGUAAGUCCGCUCUGAAAGUCCAGGGCUCAACCCUGGAAAGCGGGUGGAUACUGCCGGGCUAGAAUCCGGAAGAGGCGAGUGGAAUUCCAGGUGUAGCGGUGAAAUGCGUAGAGAUCUGGAGGAACACCGAUGGCGAAGGCAGCCUUCUGGGCCAACACUGACGCUCAUGCACGAAAGCGUGGGGAGCAAACAGGA